This 253-nucleotide long non-coding RNA is filed under the name Elaeis guineensis (African oil palm). RNAcentral's name for it is "long non-coding RNA (EGUI_LNC057975)". The record is from RNAcentral. Lineage: Eukaryota; Viridiplantae; Streptophyta; Magnoliopsida; Arecales; Arecaceae.
AUAGUUCUGUGAGUGUAUUUCUUAUUUUGUAUGUGAAUGAAAUUUUCUUAAUCAAAAAUGACAUUCUUUAUAUUACAGAGAAUAAAGGUUUUGCUGUUAUCAUUAUUCUCCAUAAAGGACUUGGAAAAAGCAUCCCUCAUCCUAGGGAUGAAGAUCUAUAGAGAUAGAUCUAAGAGACUGCUAGGAUUAUUCUAGUCUAAUAUACAUAGAAUAUUUAUGACUAGAAUUUAUUCUAUCAUGUACACCAUAUACA